UAGGGAAUCUUCCGCAAUGGGCGAAAGCCUGACGGAGCAACGCCUCGUGAGUGAUUAAGGUCUUCGGAUCGUAAAACUCUGUUAUUAGGGAAGAACAAAUGUGUAAGUAACUAUGCACGCCUUGACGGUACCUAAUCAGAAAGCCACGGCUAACUACGUGCCCGCAGCCGCGGUAAUACGUAGGUUGCAAGCGUUAUCCGGAAUUAUUGGGCGUAAAGCGCGCGUAGGCGGUUUUUUAAGUCUUAUGUGAAAGCCCACGGCUAAACCGUGGAGGGUCAUUGGAAACUGGAAAACUUGAGUGCAGAAGAGGAAAGUGGAAUUCCAGGUGUAGCGGUGAAAUGCGCAGAGAUAUGGAGGAACACCAGUGGCGAAGGCGACUUUCUGGUCUGUAACUGACGCUGAUGUGCGAAAGCGUGGGGAUCAAACAGG
Molecule: ribosomal RNA, 429 nt
Filed under: Actinomycetes bacterium
Lineage: Bacteria; Bacillati; Actinomycetota; Actinomycetes
Description: Actinobacteria bacterium partial 16S ribosomal RNA
Rfam family: Bacterial small subunit ribosomal RNA
Source: RNAcentral